GACGAACGCUGGCGGCGUGCCUAAUACAUGCAAGUCGAACGCUGAAGAGAGGAGCUUGCUCUUCUUGGAUGAGUUGCGAACGGGUGAGUAACGCGUAGGUAACCUGCCUUGUAGCGGGGGAUAACUAUUGGAAACGAUAGCUAAUACCGCAUAACAAUGGAUGACACAUGUCAUUUAUUUGAAAGGGGCAAUUGCUCCACUACAAGAUGGACCUGCGUUGUAUUAGCUAGUAGGUGAGGUAAUGGCUCACCUAGGCGACGAUACAUAGCCGACCUGAGAGGGGGAUCAGGCACACUGGGACUGAGACACGGCCCAGACUCCUACGGGAGGGAGCAGGAGGGAAACUUCGGGAAUGGGGGCAACCCUGAACGAGCAACGCCGCGUGAGGGGAGAAGGGUGUCGGAUCGUAAAGCUCUGUUGUAAGUCAAGAACGGGUGUGAGAGUGGAAAGUUCACACUGUGACGGUAGCUUACCAGAAAGGGACGGCUAACUACGUG
This 497-nucleotide ribosomal RNA is filed under the name uncultured bacterium. RNAcentral's name for it is "partial 16S ribosomal RNA". It matches the Rfam family "Bacterial small subunit ribosomal RNA", at positions 28 to 507 of the family's 1533-position model. The record is from RNAcentral.